GCCAGGCAUGGUGGUGCAUGCCUGUAAUCCCAGCUACUCAGGAGGCUGAGGCAGGAGAAUCGCUUGAACCCAGGAGGUGGAGGUUGCAGUGAGCUGAGAUCAUGCCAUUGAACUCCAGCCUGGGUGACAGAGCAAGACUCCGUCUCAA
This 148-nucleotide non-coding RNA is filed under the name Nomascus leucogenys (northern white-cheeked gibbon). Lineage: Eukaryota; Metazoa; Chordata; Mammalia; Primates; Hylobatidae. The record is from Rfam by way of RNAcentral.